Long non-coding RNA from Amphiprion ocellaris (clown anemonefish), 2958 nucleotides. RefSeq lists it as uncharacterized. The record is from RefSeq and is a predicted model, not a curated record. The transcript is spliced from 4 exons. Lineage: Eukaryota; Metazoa; Chordata; Actinopteri; Pomacentridae.
CAUAGGUAUUUGAAGACGCAAAUUUACGUAGUUUAUAUCAUAGUUAGAUUUAGUGUGUUGAAUGAAUAAAAUGACAAAUCAACAACUUCAAAUGUUCUAAUAUGAAGUUACAUCAGCACAUAGCUGCUGAUUGUCACACCAGAUAUUCUCUGCACACUUUGAACAGCAUACUGGAUAUUCUGACUUGCCACAGCAGAAAAAGCACAGUUGUGUUAAUGAUGGCUGCAUCCCACUUAAUUUCUGAUGUUGUACUUGUUGGUUCGCUGUCAUGUGUUAGUGGGACACUUAGUGGAAAUGAGUCAUCAACAAUGAUUUUAGUUCUACCUCUGCUUUUCCUGCGGCAACAAGUGAAAAUGUCAAGUGUGGAAGAGCUCUAUUAUGGCAAAACACACAUUUGGACACAGACAUGAAAAUGGCUCCCAUCUCCCCACGUUUGUGUCUUUCUGUGGUCAUUGUAUCUUUUUUUUCCAACUAGAGAAAUUAUCAGUCAUGUCACAUAGAGGUUUGGGAACAGAGAAUGGAGGCAGAUCAGAUUCCAGAUGGAGGGUGAGUCCCACCACUUUGGCCCUGAGCUUGACUUGAGUUCAAAUUCUACUUUCUUCGCCCAGGAGCCUUGCCCUCGUGUUGCCCUUUGUGAUCUGGCAGGACACAGCAUGAAGGAGCAGAGCAUCUUUUUAUGCAAAGAGUGCAAAGGGGCAUCCCAUAAUGUCACAGUUCACCUGUCAUGAGGAGUGUGACCGUCUGAGGAAACAGCUGUUUAAUGAUGAUGUCAACAAGCUGAUCUCAGAGUGGAGGCUGAAUUAGUGAGGAUGACUCCUGCUCCUGUCAUCUCUAAGCUCCUCACACAUCUUUACCUGCACAUGAGGAAAAUCACUCCUGUAGAAUGCAGAUGUUCAGAGGGAGAUGAUGCCACAUCUGGUCCAGCUGAUGGAAGGUCUUGAAGUUCUCUGACUGGCCUGGACUGAAGAUGGUCGUCUCACUGGAUUUAAGGUUCAAAUGCCCAGUAACAAACUCCACCAAUGUGCCAACAGGGAAGCUUUAGGUUUAGUAAAUGUUGCUAUGAAGGUUUCACUGUUUUUCUUUGUGAAUGCAAUGUGCUCCAACUGAAACUUGAAUUAGAACUUAGAAGUAAAUCCUUCCAUCUGAAAGGAUUUAGUUGCAUUAAUAAUCUCAUAACAUUCUAAUUUUUAUUCCAGUCUUGGUUGGAAAUAGAAUCUCUGUAUUGAUUCAGGUAAAAACUGAACUUCACAGCAUGUUGGAGCAAAACAACCAGAUGAAAACUGUGAUGGUGUUGGAUUGUCAGACCGUAAUGUUGCAGCUCAAAGCAGCUUUUCUAGCUCAGUUCAUUCUGACAUUCAGCUAUGAAUCAACACAGCAGAUGGUGAUCCAUGCUGUGGAAGUCUCACAUCUCCUGAUUUAAUGGAGCUGCUUUGCACUUUUUACACUGUUUAUUCACCAACACUUUAUUUAAUCAAAGUCCCAUCUAGUUUUCAUGAGGAAUGUGAUGUUUUAAUUUCUCUGUGAAUAACUGCAGUCUAAUGCAACAGCUGGAGUUGUAACAUCUGUCCUGAUAUUGAUCAUGAAGUAUUGAUCAGAAUACUUAUGGUUAGCAGUCAUCCCUGAAGUUUUACAUUAAAAUCUUUACUUGUGUUGUGAACUUUGGUAAGAAGCAGAAACGUUAGCGUUGCCAUGGAUACACGAGUGUUAAAUUCUGUCCGUGUUUCCAUUUUGGGAAAUAUAGUCCAGUUCCAGAAUGUGGAGGAAUUUAGUCUCAAAAUCACAGACAACAAAUAUUAUCUGAAAGUUGGGUUAUUGUUGUUUAUCAGCACAAUACAAAAAGAUUAAUGUUAGAAAUAUUCCAGUUAAGACUCUAGAAUAUCAUGAUUUAUGUAAAUUUACCUCAAUAAUAUGAAUGUUCAGGUUAAGAUUGUACAGUGAUAUUUAUUAUGUAAGUUUAGCUGAUUAAAGUUUAUGACUGCACUAAAAUAUUAUUUAAAUUGACAUCAUUAUUAUAAUAUUUAGGGUCAGACCCUACAGUAUUGAGAUUAAGAAAUCAAAUAUUCUAUAAAAUGUAAAUACACUGAACUCAUUUGGAUAUAUUUAAAUGAGACUCUACAAUAUUAUUUGACACAAAUCUGUCUAAAUCAAAAUUUUAAUAAUUUUUUACAAACAUUUACUGGACUGAUUUAAAUAUGAAAAUCACUCCUUUCUAAUCCUCUGCUGUACGUUCAAACCUGAGGCCUUAAAUAGAAACACACAAGUAUCUGUUUGAAGGAACUUCUGCAGAGUCCUGGUUCCAGAACAUGAUGAUAGAAUUAUAGACAAACUUUAACAAAAGCUGCCUGAGAGUUUACAGGUUUUUAUGUUGGAUUUCUUCAGUAAUUUAAUGAGUUAUCAGCAAAAAUCAAGUGUUCAUUUGAUGAACUUCAUUUCCUAAAACAUCCAGAAUUGGAGCUCAUAUCUUUGGCAGCUGUAAAGUUUCUGCUCCUUCAAAGUUCACAACACAAUGAAUGAAUUCCUAAAACACUCUCAAUGCUGGAGAGCGUUUGUGAUGCUGAAGCAGUGACCAGUUUUUCUGUUUCUUCUCUGGAGAUGCACAAUGAGGGACGUCUGCAGAGACUGAGAAAGAGUCUCACCACAUCCUGACAUGAGGAAAAAGACUUUAUUGAAGACUACAAUGAGAAAAACUAUCAGACAGCAGACGGCUGCAUUCAAGGCUACAGGAGGAGCCCUACGAGGACGAGCCGGUCCACCUGAUGGUGGCCAGUCGCUGCGGUUCAAAGCCAACACCGACUACGUGGACUUCUACUGGACCACACGGAGGCCUUCAAACCGGACCAACAAGUUCAGCGACUCCCCGACUCGUGGGUCUGAGGACGCCGCCGAGCCUCGGUCCAGCCGGCCUCCUGUCUGUGGGUGUUUGAGUGCUGAGAGGUUUGUGGAUGCAUGUGAAUCUGU